Molecule: ribosomal RNA, 451 nt
Filed under: Veillonella parvula
Lineage: Bacteria; Bacillati; Bacillota; Negativicutes; Veillonellales; Veillonellaceae
Description: bacterial SSU rRNA
Rfam family: Bacterial small subunit ribosomal RNA
Source: RNAcentral
GACGAACGCUGGCGGCGUGCUUAACACAUGCAAGUCGAACGAAGAGCGAUGGAAGCUUGCUUCUAUCAAUCUUAGUGGCGAACGGGUGAGUAACGCGUAAUCAACCUGCCCUUCAGAGGGGGACAACAGUUGGAAACGACUGCUAAUACCGCAUACGAUCUAAUCUCGGCAUCGAGGAUAGAUGAAAGGUGGCCUCUACAUGUAAGCUAUCACUGAAGGAGGGGAUUGCGUCUGAUUAGCUAGUUGGAGGGGUAACGGCCCACCAAGGCGAUGAUCAGUAGCCGGUCUGAGAGGAUGAACGGCCACAUUGGGACUGAGGCACGGCCCAGACUCCUACGGGAGGCAGCAGUGGGGAAUCUUCCGCAAUGGACGAAAGUCUGACGGAGCAACGCCGCGUGAGUGAUGACGGCCUUCGGGUUGUAAAGCUCUGUUAAUCGGGACGAAAGGCCUU